UGAGCCUCCAGUUGGCAUGUGCCAUUGUUUGAACCUAAGUCCUUGGUGUUGGUGAUGUUUGAUGGAGAAUUAAGGUCACAAGGCAACAAAAUGAACUGAAUUCUAAAGAAUGGCAAGCCUCUCUGAGAAGAGACAGGACAGAGGAACUGUUUCACCUUUGGCCAGGACUGGCUGUGUAAUCCAUGGGACACAGUAAAAAUGAAAAUGCAGGAACCUUUUGAA
Molecule: long non-coding RNA, 222 nt
Organism: Eptesicus fuscus (big brown bat)
Lineage: Eukaryota; Metazoa; Chordata; Mammalia; Chiroptera; Vespertilionidae
Exons: 2
Source: RefSeq, a predicted model, not a curated record